This 792-nucleotide ribosomal RNA is filed under the name uncultured Segetibacter sp. RNAcentral's name for it is "bacterial SSU rRNA". It matches the Rfam family "Bacterial small subunit ribosomal RNA", at positions 8 to 796 of the family's 1533-position model. Lineage: Bacteria; Pseudomonadati; Bacteroidota; Chitinophagia; Chitinophagales; Chitinophagaceae. The record is from RNAcentral.
AGAGUUUGAUCCUGGCUCAGGAUGAACGCUAGCGGCAGGCUUAAUACAUGCAAGUCGAGGGGUAACAUGGUAGCAAUACUGAUGACGACCGGCAAACGGGUGCGGAACACGUACAGAACCUUCCUUUAAGUGGGGAAUAGCCCAGAGAAAUUUGGAUUAAUACCCCGUAACAUUAUGCGGUGGCAUCACCCUAUAAUUAUAGAUUUAUCGCUUAGAGAUGGCUGUGCGGCUGAUUAGGUAGUUGGUGUAGGUAACGGCUCACCAAGCCUGCGAUCAGUAACUGGUGUGAGAGCACGACCAGUCACACGGGCACUGAGACACGGGCCCGACUCCUACGGGAGGCAGCAGUAAGGAAUAUUGGUCAAUGGACGCAAGUCUGAACCAGCCAUGCCGCGUGAAGGAUGAAGGCCCUCUGGGUUGUAAACUUCUUUUAUCUGGGAAGAAAUGCAUGCUUUUUAGCGUGUUUGACGGUACCAGAGGAAUAAGCACCGGCUAACUCCGUGCCAGCAGCCGCGGUAAUACGGAGGGUGCAAGCGUUAUCCGGAUUCACUGGGUUUAAAGGGUGCGUAGGUGGGAAUGUAAGUCAGUGGUGAAAUCUCCGUGCUUAACAUGGAAACUGCCAUUGAUACUAUGUUUCUUGAAUUUUCUGGAGGUCAGCGGAAUAUGUCAUGUAGCGGUGAAAUGCUUAGAUAUGACAUAGAACACCAAUUGCGAAGGCAGCUGGCUACAGCGAUAUUGACACUGAGGCACGAAAGCGUGGGGAUCAAACAGGAUUAGAUACCCCGGUAGUCC